Molecule: ribosomal RNA, 496 nt
Filed under: uncultured bacterium
Lineage: Bacteria
Description: partial 16S ribosomal RNA
Rfam family: Bacterial small subunit ribosomal RNA
Source: RNAcentral
GAUGAACGCUGGCGGCGUGCCUAAUACAUGCAAGUCGAGCGAACAGAUAAGGAGCUUGCUCCUUUGACGUUAGCGGCGGACGGGUGAGUAACACGUGGAUAACCUACCUAUAAGACUGGGAUAACUUCGGGAAACCGGAGCUAAUACCGGAUAACAUAUGGAACCGCAUGGUUCAAUAGUGAAAGGGGCUUUGCUGUCACUUAUAGAUGGAUCCGCGCCGUGUUAGCUAGUUGGUAAGGUAACGGCUUACCAAGGCAACGAUACGUAGCCGAACUGAGAGGGUGAUCGGCCACACUGGAACUGAGACACGGUCCAGACUCCUACGGGAGGCAGCAGUAGGGAAUCUUCCGCAAUGGGCGAAAGCCUGACGGAGCAACGCCGCGUGAGUGAUGAAGGUCUUCGGAUCGUAAAACUCUGUUAUCAGGGAAGAACACAUGUGUAAGUAACUGUGCACAUCUUGACGGUACCUGAUCAGAAAGCCACGGCUAACUACGUG